Molecule: long non-coding RNA, 391 nt
Filed under: Musa acuminata (dwarf banana)
Lineage: Eukaryota; Viridiplantae; Streptophyta; Magnoliopsida; Zingiberales; Musaceae
Description: long non-coding RNA (MACU_LNC001166)
Source: RNAcentral
UUCUGUCAAAACUAAAUCACCAUUCAAUGUUCCAUAUAUGCAUUCUAUAGACUAAAAGUUAGUACUACCUUCUGUAUGAGUAUAAAAUAAUGAACAAUUAUUACUGAGUCUUCUGUCGAAAAUAGAUAUCAUCAUUCAAUGUUCCCUACAUGCAUUAUAUAGACUAAAAGGACUUUUCCUAUAGACCAUCUUAACCCUGCAACUGCUGUGGCAGGAGCAUACUGUUUUUGCUAAAGCAACUUUCACAUGUAAACUUUAGGAUAACAUUACAAGAAACUGGCAUGUAAAAAAGGAAAUCAUAUAAUAAUACAAAGUUUAUUUGUCAAACCUUGUAAGAACUAAGAAGUAUAUUCCUUUAGCAGCUUAUCAGCCUUUUUAUGCCUCUUAGAAU